ACGACCGCACGACCUCUCCCCUCCUCGCACGACCUCUCUCGCCCCCUCCUCCCCGCACGUCUCUCGCCCCUUCCUCCUCCCGCGCCGUUCGCCUCGCGCCACCGUUAGCUGCAGGAGGCGCCCCACCGCGCCCGGCGACGCCUCCCGCCGCCGCCGCCGAAGCCGUAACCUCCCCUGCCUCUUCUCCGCCUCACCCCUGUGCCUCCCAACCGCCAAGCCGCCGCCGCCUCAUCUUCUCGCUGCACGGCCGGGCGACGCGGCGAGGCGCGCGGGAGCUCUUCGGCCGGAGACACGGCGAGGCGCGCGGGACGGCCGCUGGCGAACGUGGCCGGACCUGAGACUGUGGCGCGCGCUGCCACCUCCGCCCUCCCCCGGCCUUAUCUCCUACGGAACAGGCUACUCAUGCAUCGAUAGUACAACCAACCCCUUUCCGUGACAUAAUCAACACACGUACAAAAGGUACAUGUGUGACCUCGGCCUCAAUCUCUGCAAAUACACCUCAAAUGCACACUUCAGUCUACAAUACACACCAACUACGGAAAUGUGGUGUUUAAGAGAUGACAUCAGAGAAAAGCACCAAGACCAUUGUCUAUCAAGACGUCGCAGCAUUGAGUAAUUGUGUAUGUUAUUUUAGUGUGAGAGUUUAUAAAUUUUUAGUUGCGGCUUAGCUACUGUUUCAUCCAUUUUAUCAUCGCAAACAUUUGUACCAGUCCCACUUUAUACCUAUGUCUUAUUUUAUGAUUAUUGGAUUUCCUUUAGCCCUUCUACAAUUCAGUUAGUCACUGUAAAGUGUCUUCUGUUUCUGCGGAUACACAAGUCGGUGUAGUCACACAUCAUCUUCAAUUUCUGUUAUCCAUAUCACUGCUCUUGGCCAUUGUCGGCAUCAUCAACACCGAGCACCAACGACAAGAGCCCAGUGGUGAACGAGGCCAAGAGAAUCCUGAGAAGCUGCAGCUGAAAGUAGCACUGGAGGUGGUGCCUGGGAGAAGCAGUGCAGGCAGUGGCCUAGAGGAGCGGAAGAGGUGUCUGGGACGAGCAUAGGAGGCAGCGGCGCAACAGUCGGGUGCAGGGGGCCCGGGAGAAGUGGAGGAACUGGUGGCCGGGAGCAAAAUUGUUGGCGGUGGGAUCAGAGGAGGUAAUAACGCCCGGAGCAGCGCGGGCGGCAAGGGAGGAAACAAGUAUUGAGCUGGCCUAAGUGGCAAUUUUAUCCAUGUAGUCCCUUCGUAAACUAAUAUAAGAGUGUUUAGAUCACUACUUUAGUUAUCUAAACGCUCUUAUAUUAGUUUACAGAGGGAGUACAAAAUACUAAGAGGAAUAUGUACAUGUACUGCUUUAUUAAUUGGUGAUAUACCUACACACUUUCUCCUGGAAAUUUCUUUCACUUGACAUGAUAGUCA
Triticum urartu is the source of this 1397-nucleotide long non-coding RNA. RefSeq lists it as uncharacterized. NCBI's taxonomy places the organism in Eukaryota, Viridiplantae, Streptophyta, Magnoliopsida, Poales, Poaceae. The record is from RefSeq and is a predicted model, not a curated record.